Molecule: ribosomal RNA, 936 nt
Filed under: Hirsutella rhossiliensis
Lineage: Eukaryota; Fungi; Ascomycota; Sordariomycetes; Hypocreales; Ophiocordycipitaceae
Description: LSU rRNA
Rfam family: Eukaryotic large subunit ribosomal RNA
Source: RNAcentral
AGAUCAGGUAGGGAUACCCGCUGAACUUAAGCAUAUCAAUAAGCGGAGGAAAAGAAACCAACAGGGAUUGCCCCAGUAACGGCGAGUGAAGCGGCAACAGCUCAAAUUUGAAAUCUGGCCCCCCCCGCGGGGCCCGAGUUGUAAUUUGCAGAGGAUGCUUUUGGCGCGGCGCCUUCCGAGUUCCCUGGAACGGGACGCCAUAGAGGGUGAGAGCCCCGUCUGGUCGGACGCCCAGCCUCUGUAAAGCUCCUUCGACGAGUCGAGUAGUUUGGGAAUGCUGCUCUAAAUGGGAGGUAUAUGUCUUCUAAAGCUAAAUACUGGCCAGAGACCGAUAGCGCACAAGUAGAGUGAUCGAAAGAUGAAAAGCACUUUGAAAAGAGGGUUAAACAGUACGUGAAAUUGUUGAAAGGGAAGCGCUUGUGACCAGACAUGGGCGCGGCGAAUCAUCCGGCGUUCUCGCCGGUGCACUUCGCCGCGCCCGGGCCAGCAUCAGUUCGCGGCGGGGGACAAAGGCGCCGGGAACGUGGCUCCCCCGGGAGUGUUAUAGCCCGGCGCGCAAUGCCCCGCGGCGGACUGAGGUUCGCGCAUCCGCAAGGAUGCUGGCGUAAUGGUCACCAGUGACCCGUCUUGAAACACGGACCAAGGAGUCGUCCUCGUAUGCGAGUGUUCGGGUGUCAAACCCCUACGCGCAAUGAAAGUGAACGCAGGUGAGAGCCUCACGGCGCAUCAUCGACCGAUCCUGAUGUUCUCGGAUGGAUUUGAGUAAGAGCAUACGGGGCCGGACCCGAAAGAAGGUGAACUAUGCCUGUGUAGGGUGAAGCCAGAGGAAACUCUGGUGGAGGCUCGCAGCGGUUCUGACGUGCAAAUCGAUCGUCAAACAUGGGCAUGGGGGCGAAAGACUAAUCGAACCUUCUAGUAGCUGGUUUCCGCCGAAGU